CAUGCAAGUCGAGGGGUAGCUAUCUUCGGAUAAUGAGACCGGCGCACGGGUGCGUAACGCGUAUGCAAUCUACCUUUCACAGAGGGAUAGCCCAGAGAAAUUUGGAUUAAUACCUCAUAGCAUAGCAGUCUCGCAUGAGACCACUAUUAAAGAUUUAUCGGUGAAAGAUGAGCAUGCGUCCCAUUAGCUAGUUGGUAUGGUAACGGCAUACCAAGGCUACGAUGGGUAGGGGUCCUGAGAGGGAGAUCCCCCACACUGGUACUGAGACACGGACCAGACUCCUACGGGAGGCAGCAGUGAGGAAUAUUGGACAAUGGGCGCAAGCCUGAUCCAGCCAUGCCGCGUGCAGGAUGACGGUCCUAUGGAUUGUAAACUGCUUUUAUACAGGAAGAAACACCUCUACGUGUAGAGACUUGACGGUACUGUAAGAAUAAGGAUCGGCUAACUCCGUGCCAGCAGCCGCGGUAAUACGGAGGAUCCAAGCGUUAUCCGGAAUCAUUGGGUUUAAAGGGUCCGUAGGCGGUUUAGUAAGUCAGUGGUGAAAGCCCAUCGCUCAACGGUGGAACGGCCAUUGAUACUGCUAGACUUGAAUUAUUAGGAAGUAACUAGAAUAUGUAGUGUAGCGGUGAAAUGCUUAGAGAUUACAUGGAAUACCAAUUGCGAAGGCAGGUUACUACUAAUAUAUUGACGCUGAUGGACGAAAGCGUGGGUAGCGAACAGGAUUAGAUACCCUGGUAGUCCACGCCGUAAACGAUGGAUACUAGCUGUUGGGAGCAAUCUCAGUGGCUAAGCGAAAGUGAUAAGUAUCCCACCUGGGGAGUACGAACGCAAGUUUGAAACUCAAAGGAAUUGACGGGGGCCCGCACAAGCGGUGGAGCAUGUGGUUUAAUUCGAUGAUACGCGAGGAACCUUACCAAGGCUUAAAUGUAGAUUGACCGGUUUGGAAACAGACUUUUCGCAAGACAAUUUACAAGGUGCUGCAUGGUUGUCGUCAGCUCGUGCCGUGAGGUGUCAGGUUAAGUCCUAUAACGAGCGCAACCCCUGUUGUUAGUUGCCAGCGAGUCAUGUCGGAAACUCUAACAAGACUGCCAGUGUAAACUGUGAGGAAGGUGGGGAUGACGUCAAAUCAUCACGGCCCUUACGCAUUGGGCUACACACGUGCUACAAUGGACGGUACAGAGAGCAGCCACUGGGCAACCAGGAGCGAAUCUACAAAACCGUUCUCAGUUCGGAUCGGAGUCUGCAACUCGACUCCGUGAAGCUGGAAUCGC
Molecule: ribosomal RNA, 1271 nt
Filed under: uncultured Bacteroidota bacterium
Lineage: Bacteria; Pseudomonadati; Bacteroidota
Description: bacterial SSU rRNA
Rfam family: Bacterial small subunit ribosomal RNA
Source: RNAcentral